Long non-coding RNA from Cryptomeria japonica (Japanese cedar), 1347 nucleotides. RefSeq lists it as uncharacterized. The transcript is spliced from 2 exons. Lineage: Eukaryota; Viridiplantae; Streptophyta; Pinopsida; Cupressales; Cupressaceae. The record is from RefSeq and is a predicted model, not a curated record.
UAGAUUUUCUUUUGUAUCCUUUUCCUUUGACCAAUCUUUGAUGACCCUUAAUGGAUUCUAAAUUUUUUACCUCAUUUCUUAUGACAAUAAAGCACCAAUUACCUCAUUAUUUAGCUCUCAUAUCUUACUGAUGAUCACCAUAACCAAGUUUGUUCCAAGAAUGUAGUGGCAUGAUGCACCAAUCUUCCUCAUUUGUAUUUUACAUCAACAAAAACCAAUUAAAAUUAAAGAAAACGAUGAGUUUAAAUUCUUGGGGAUCAUUCUUUCUCUCAGAUCUUUCAUCUGUAAAACAUUAGUUGUAGAAGAGGGCCUCAUAUGCUUCUUCAUCAACAUUUCUUCUCAGGAAUUAUUUUCUUCUGGGUUUGGCAGCCAUUGGGAGAUUCACAAGCUUCUCAUUUAGAUGAUGGAUGAAAGUGAGCCUUAUGGAAAAAAAUUUAAGAAGCAUUCGAAGGAGAAAGAGAAAGAAAGAAUGAAAAAGCUCAAGAAUAUUUUUCUUUACAGUGCUUCCGUUGCAGAGCAAUCCAUCAGGUGUCUGGAAGAGGAGAAGACAGAACUUGAAAUUGUUCUUGAAAGAAUUCGACGCUAUCAGCUGCCAAUCAAAGACAUGAUAAGGGAUCCAAAUACCCCAACAAGAAGUAUCAGUAUUCUUCAUGAAUUAGAUCGAAAUGCAGAAAUGAGAUCAACCAUUGAAGCGGUGGAGAAGAUCUUAUCUGUAUUUGACAAAUCUUUACUGCAAGAUCAUCCCAAAGAGCGAAAACAAUUCAAAGAUCAUCCCCUGAUUGAAAAAAGAGUGCUACAGUUUGCUGCAAAAGCUCACUUCAUCAAGACCUCUUAUGACAUAAAGCCCAGGAGUUCAAUCACAAGAUCUUCUAGCAUUUGAUUUCUUUUGUUCUAGUUUUAUAUGGGGGUUCCAGAGUUGAAACUGUCAAAAAAAAGAAAUUAGUUCUUGUUGCAGGCUUGGUACAGAGCAAGGGAUUUAAGCAAAUCUUGGAUUUCUUUUUCCUUUCCAAUCAUAUUCAGUCUCUGCAUUUCAAGAUGAUAUAAUAGCAUAUCUUGUAAGGGAAGAAAAUGUAUUACAGCUUAGACACAGAAAUCCCUGCAGAACAUCUGCACAAUUUCAUACCAUGAUAUCUGAACAAGUGCUUAUGUGAUUAAUCAUGUCUACUUUUGAAGAACUGGAAGUGUUUUUUUUUUUUGGUAUCUAACUUAUGAUGUAGUUGUUCUUCAAGUUAACUACUUUAUUUUUAAGACAUUCCAGCUAUGGGUAUUGUUUUUUAAGAUUGUAGCUAUGUAUUCCAUCAAUUUAUGUUGAAUGAUUAUGUUCAAUAAUGAAAUCUUUCAAAAAUC